UGGCAGAACAGCGACCCAGAGGGAGAUCACUUUGGCCUACCAUCGGAGGGCGCUGG
Molecule: non-coding RNA, 56 nt
Filed under: uncultured Symbiodinium
Lineage: Eukaryota; Dinophyceae; Suessiales; Symbiodiniaceae
Source: RNAcentral